GUACACUCCUACGGGAGGCAGCAGUGGGGAAUAUUGGACAAUGGGCGCAAGCCUGAUCCAGCCAUGCCGCGUGAGUGAUGAAGGCCCUAGGGUUGUAAAGCUCUUUCACCGGUGAAGAUAAUGACGGUAACCGGAGAAGAAGCCCCGGCUAACUUCGUGCCAGCAGCCGCGGUAAUACGAAGGGGGCUAGCGUUGUUCGGAUUUACUGGGCGUAAAGCGCACGUAGGCGGACUAUUAAGUCAGGGGUGAAAUCCCGGGGCUCAACCCCGGAACUGCCUUUGAUACUGGUAGUCUUGAGUUCGAGAGAGGUGAGUGGAAUUCCGAGUGUAGAGGUGAAAUUCGUAGAUAUUCGGAGGAACACCAGUGGCGAAGGCGGCUCACUGGCUCGAUACUGACGCUGAGGUGCGAAAGCGUGGGGAGCAAACAGGAUUAGAUACCCGUGUAGUCCCAUGAU
RNAcentral lists this ribosomal RNA (454 nucleotides) under uncultured organism. RNAcentral describes it as "partial 16S ribosomal RNA". It matches the Rfam family "Bacterial small subunit ribosomal RNA", at positions 331 to 801 of the family's 1533-position model. The record is from RNAcentral.